AGACGUAGGGGGCAAGCGUUGUCCGGAAUUACUGGGCGUAAAGGGUGCGUAGGCGGCAAGCCAAGUCAGAUGUGAAAUCCCCGGGCUUAACUCGGGGGGUGCAUUUGAAACUGGCUAGCUUGAGUGCAGGAGAGGAAAGCGGAAUUCCUAGUGUAGCGGUGAAAUGCGUAGAUAUUAGGAGGAACACCAGUGGCGAAGGCGGCUUUCUGGACUGUAACUGACGCUGAGGCACGAAAGCGUGGGGAGC
This 247-nucleotide ribosomal RNA is filed under the name uncultured bacterium. RNAcentral describes it as "partial 16S ribosomal RNA". It matches the Rfam family "Bacterial small subunit ribosomal RNA", at positions 523 to 769 of the family's 1533-position model. The record is from RNAcentral.